CUUUCCCUAUUUUUGGAGCCUGCUCGCCCCCUCCCUGCCCAGGGGAGGGUGGUCCGCAGCCACCAGUUUGGCUCCCGCCCACCCCGGGGACACCAGGCUGGACUCUCCCGAGGUUCAAGGCUCACCAAAGCCUUGGCGAGAGCUCUGGCAGGUCCUGCCCCAGGGCCACGAGCAACAUCUGGCUGCUCACCUGCCACUGCUGCCGCCCAGCAGCGCCAACGGCAGAGCACUGAGGCUUGCAGACAGGAGCUGCUUCAUAGCUGCAAACUCUUACAAUUAUUGGAAAGGAGAAUCAUUUUCUCAUGUGGACCACUGUAGCGAGAUCUUUCAAGUCAGUAUUUAUCACCACCGUGGCUGUGUCAAUGCCAUGAAGGUUUGCAAGCAAUGCCUCCAUCCUCCACCUUCCCAGAAGGAUACAUUUCAAUUAAAAUGAGAAGCAAUUUAAAUAUUAGCAUGAGGUUUCCAAACAGAUUUGAAUAAUGCCCCAGCUGCACCUUGUUCUUGUUUGGUUCAUUUUAAAGGAGAACAUGCAGCAUUAACCAAAUACAUUCCAUGUUCUGUCAACACAGCACCACUAACAGCACGGACACCAGACACACGAGGAGCAGAGAUGUUUUUGUGGACGCGACGCCCGUGGCAUGUUUAAGCAGAGGCACUGCACGUGCUCUUACGUAAAGACAGGACGAGCCGGUAAUGCCAGAGCAGCUCCCAGGGAAGAGGCGGGCAGGAGGCCCUGGGGACCCUGCCCCGAGGGACCCCUCUGCUUCCCCAAACCAGCAACACUGAGCUCACCAGCACCGUCAGCAAGGACCAGUGUUCUGCCAAAUCAGUAGCCACGGCCAACAGCCAGGAAAUCACCUGACACAGCACGAGCAGUAGCACCUGCCCCCCAGGACAGCUGAAUUUCUAAGCAGUAAUUAUUUGACAAAGUCAUUGAAAGGUUUGUUACACUAUCCUAGUGAGUCUGAGCCUUUGCCCUGGCUGAAAUCUUUCCCGGAGCUGAGUGAAGAAACAAGAACGUUUUACUUACGGAGCCA
Molecule: long non-coding RNA, 1037 nt
Filed under: Athene cunicularia (burrowing owl)
Lineage: Eukaryota; Metazoa; Chordata; Aves; Strigiformes; Strigidae
Description: lncRNA (ENSACUG00000005458.1)
Source: RNAcentral